AACGUAGGUGGCUAGCGUUGCCCGGAAUCACUGGGCGUAAAGCGGGUGUAGGCGGUUCUUUAAGUCGGAUGUGAAAUCCAGCGGCCCAACCGCUGAAUUGCAUCCGAUACUGGGGAACUUGAGGACGGUAGAGGUCGGUGGAAUAUCCGGUGUACCGGUGAAAUGGACAGAUAUCGGAUAGAACACCAGUGGCGAAGGCGGCCGACUGGGCCGUUCCUGACGCUGAGAGACGAAAGCUAGGGGAGCGAAUGGG
Molecule: ribosomal RNA, 253 nt
Filed under: uncultured bacterium
Lineage: Bacteria
Description: partial 16S ribosomal RNA
Rfam family: Bacterial small subunit ribosomal RNA
Source: RNAcentral